Molecule: ribosomal RNA, 541 nt
Rfam family: Eukaryotic large subunit ribosomal RNA
GGAGGAAAAGAAACCAACAGGGAUUGCCUCAGUAACGGCGAGUGAAGCGGCAAAAGCUCRAAUUUGAAAUCUAGCACCUUCGGUGUUCGAGUUGUAAUUUGAAGAUGGUAACCUUGGGUUUGGCUCUUGUCUAUGUUCCUUGGAACAGGACGUCAUAGAGGGUGAGAAUCCCGUCUGAUGAGAUGCCCAUUCCUAUGUAAGGUGCUAUCGAAGAGUCGAGUUGUUUGGGAAUGCAGCUCUAAGUGGGUGGUAAAUUCCAUCUAAAGCUAAAUAUUGGCGAGAGACCGAUAGCGAACAAGUACAGUGAUGGAAAGAUGAAAAGAACUUUGAAAAGAGAGUGAAAAAGUACGUGAAAUUGUUGAAAGGGAAGGGCAUUAGAUCAGACUUGGUGUUUUACGAUUAUCUUCUCUUCUUGAGUUGUGCACUCGUAUUUCACUGGGCCAGCAUCGAUUCGGAUGGUAAGAUAAUGACAGUUGAACGUGGCUCCAUUCGUGGAGUGUUAUAGCUUCUGUUGAUAUUGCCUGUCUGGAUCGAGGGCUGC